CAUCUAAGUAGGGCGAGGAAGAGAAAUCAAACGAGAUUCCGCUAGUAGUGGCGAGCGAACGCGGAAGAGGCCAAACCGAUCGAAGCAAUUUGGUCGGGGUAAGGACUGCGACAUGUAGUGUGAAAGAUAGCUGAAUGCUCUGGGAAGGGCAGCGAAACAGGGUGAGAGCCCCGUAAGCGACAUCGGAAACACGCUAGCAGUAUCCAGAGUACCACAGGACACGAGGAACCCUGUGGGAAUACGGGUGGACCAUCAUCCAAGCCUAAAUACUACCUGGUGACCGAUAGAGAAGCAGUACCGUGAGGGAAAGGUGAAAAGGACCCCGGGAGGGGAGUGAAAGAGAACCUGAAACCUUGUGCUUACAAACAGUCAAAGGCCUACGGGCUGAUGGCGUACUUUUUGUAGAACGGUCCGGCGAGUUACUAAUGCCAGCGAGGUUAAGUGGUCAGAAGCCACGGAGCCGAAGGGAAACCAAGUCUGAAUAGGGCGUAGAGUUGGUAUUAGUAGACCCGAAACCGGGUGACCUAUCCAUGUCCAGGUUGAAGGAACCGUAAAAGGUUUUGGAGGACCGAACACACAUGUGUUGAAAAACGUGGUGAUGAGGUGUGGAUAGCGGAGAAAUUCCAAUCGAACUCGGAGAUAGCUGGUUCUCCUCGAAAUAGCUUUAGGGCUAGCCUCGAGCUGGAGUCUAACGGAGGUAAAGCACUGAACUGACGCGGGGCCCAAAAAGGUUACCAACUCAUAUCAAACUAAGAAUGCCGUCAAGAUACCCUCGGGAGUCAGUCUGCGUGAGAUAAGUCGCGUGGACAAAAGGGAAAGAGCCCAGACCGACAGCUAAGGUCCCAAAGUACGUGUUAAGUGGAAAAGGAUGUGGGAUUUCAAAGACAACUAGGAUGUUGGCUUAGAAGCAGCCAUACAUUUAAAGAGUGCGUAAUAGCUCACUAGUCGAGAAAACCUGCGCCGAAAAUGUAACGGGGCUAAAACACGACACCGAAGCUACGGAUUUCCUACAAGGUAGGAAGUGGUAGAGGAGCAUCCUGCAAGGACGAAGCCAAAGUGAGAGCGAUGGUGGACGAAACAGGAGAGAGAAUGCCGGAAUGAGUAGCGAGAUACAUGUGAGAAACAUGUAGGCCGAAUAUCUAAGGAUUCCUGGGUAAAGCUAAUCUUCCCAGGGUUAGUCGGGGCCUAAGGCGAGGACGAAAGUCGUAGUCGAUGGAUAACAGGUUGAUAUUCCUGUACUACACAUAAUCAGAACUGUGGGGACGCAGGAGGAUAGGGAAACCGGGGAAUGGAAAGACCCGGUCAAGCGUAAAGCUGUGGGAGAUAGGCAAAUCCGUCUCCUGUAAGUGAAACGUGAUGAGGACUGAAAAAAAGUAAGGAAGUUUCCGAAUCCACACUGCCGAGAAAAGCCGCUAUUGCGUUAUGUGUACCCGUACCGUAAACCGACACAGGUAGAUGAGGAGAAAAUCCACAGGCCGACGGGAGAAGUGUUGUUAAGGAACUCGGCAAAAUGACCCCGUAACUUCGGGAUAAGGGGAGCCUCGCAAGAGGCCGCAGAAAAGAGGCACAAGCAACUGUUUAGCAAAAACAUAGGUCUAUGCGAAACCGUAAGGUGAAGUAUAUGGGCUGACGCCUGCCCGGUGCUGGAAGGUUAAAAGGAGAGGUCAGCGCAAGCGAAGCUUUGAAUUCAAGCCCCAGUAAACGGCGGCCGUAACUAUAACGGUCCUAAGGUAGCGAAAUUCCUUGUCAGGUAAGUUCUGACCCGC
RNAcentral lists this ribosomal RNA (1766 nucleotides) under human gut metagenome. RNAcentral describes it as "bacterial LSU rRNA". It matches the Rfam family "Bacterial large subunit ribosomal RNA", at positions 199 to 1991 of the family's 2925-position model. The record is from RNAcentral.